The sequence is a ribosomal RNA, 512 nucleotides long. The stretch from base 174 to 327 matches the Rfam family "5.8S ribosomal RNA".
AAGGAUCAUUAAAGAAUGCCCCGUUUUUUGAAAUGGGUUCUAUUCCCAAACCGUGUAUACAUACCUUUGUUGCUUUGGCAGGCCGCCUUCGGGCGUCGGCUCACGCUGACCGCGCCUGCCANAGGACCCAAACUCGUUUGUUUAGUGAUGUCUGAGUACUAUAUAAUAGUUAAAACUUUCAACAACGGAUCUCUUGGUUCUGGCAUCGAUGAAGAACGCAGCGAAAUGCGAUAAGUAAUGUGAAUUGCAGAAUUCAGUGAAUCAUCGAAUCUUUGAACGCACAUUGCGCCCCUUGGUAUUCCGAGGGGCAUGCCUGUUCGAGCGUCAUUAUGACCACUCAAGCCUAGCUUGGUAUUGGGGUUCGCGGUCUCGCGGCCCUUAAAAUCAGUGGCGGUGCCAUCUGGCUCUAAGCGUAGUAAUUUAUCUCGCUAUUGGGUCCGGUGGUUGCUUGCCAACAACCCCCAACUUCUAAGGUUGACCUCGGAUCAGGUAGGGAUACCCGCUGAACUUAA